Long non-coding RNA from Alligator mississippiensis (American alligator), 3291 nucleotides. RefSeq lists it as uncharacterized. Lineage: Eukaryota; Metazoa; Chordata; Crocodylia; Alligatoridae. The record is from RefSeq and is a predicted model, not a curated record. The transcript is spliced from 5 exons.
UUGUCUGCCUCACCUGGUCUCUCCCCACCAAACUGCACGAUUUCUUUCUCUGGGAGACACCUGGCUCCCCUUUCAACAAGAUGAACCAUUUUAAUCUACCUACUCAUUUCCACAAAACAUGAAGUUUACUUAGCAUUUUUUCUCUCUCUCCCUACAGCACACCUGCCUUCUCUAUCUCUUAUACCCUGCCUCCUCAACCAUUACACUCCCACAUUCCUUUGAGGGCUGCUCUUUCCCUCAGACAUCUGCAUUGAUAUAUAGAAUUGUCACCGAAUCCUAAAACACCCAUUGCUGCUUUGUGCUUUCAUAAAUGCAUAAAAAGAUGGGAAGUUCUUUUUCCACUUUAAAUUCUAAGGAAUUUUCAGGGAAAUGGUACCUGCCAUUCUGUUUUGAGUCACUAGUUAUAACAAGGUUGUCUGACCUACAACAGUUAGGAGGAGCUGGAGGUCAGCUUGUCCAGUUCAGUUACCAGACUCAGCUGGAAGGGAUCAUUUGAUGUUAAAAGGGGCAAGAGAGCUCAGUUAAGGGAGAUAUGCAAGGAACAAGUGGGUUUUUAUAACAGGCUCUGGAGUAGAGGGAAAAGAAGCAAUGAUCUUUGCAGCUUGCUUUUAGUUAAGGGAAAUCUUUUUUAUUUUUUUUUUUUGUAUCUGGAUAAUCAAUUCAGCUCUGUGGAAAAGAAUCUAGUUUUUCCCCCUGAUAUCAGAACUUCCUGGGGAGCUGAGGCCACAAUUUAGAAACAGCUGAUCAUGCUAGCGAGUGGGUGCUCCAUUUUGAAAUUAGGGAAAUCUGUUCCUUGCUACUUCUUUUUGGUCUUCUGAAUGAUCACCUGCAAAGCAGUGGGAUGAAUUUUUAAAGCUUGAAAUAUAGUGGAUGCGUCUUUUAAUCUGACAAUAGGGAAACCAGACCAACUCAGAGAGCUGUUGCUCCCUCCCCAUCACCGCAGUCUGAAUCUUUAUCUCUGAGCUCAAGAAGAGGGACUUCUGUUAAGUCAGAGGAAAUGGAACUGCUGUCUCGCGUUAUUUUAGUUCUGUGUCAUCCUGCUCCUCUCUGCCCACUGGAAGAAGGAUAUUCAACUGGUACUUUAGCAAGAGCUGUGCUGAGGUUAUACUUCUUCUCGCCAACAAGAGGUCCAGUCUGAUAGCCAGUCCAUCUCUAAGGAACAGAAUUGGAUGCUCGCUCCUUGAAUCAGGACCACGGAGAACUAGGGAGGGUAAGAGACUGAAAAGCCAGGGGUCUCAGACUGAGAAAAAAACAGCUCCUCACCUGCUCUAGAAGCUGUGCCUUGGGGGGCACUCUCAGAGACGUGGCAAGACUGCGAUGGUCCUGAGCAAGCACCUCUCCUGGGAGGACUCUGGGACAAAAAGCUCUGGUGGAAGACAGAUAUAGAGCGGAUACAUGACAUUUACUAGCAAAGUUGCAACAUCAUGUAUAAAAGUCACUUGUAUGUCUUGGAGAGAACAUUUUGUAUGUGUUCAUAGCAACUUAUGAAAAGCAAAACCUGAGUGUAGUGUGAUUUAAAAGUGACUGACAACUAUAGGCUUGUCAUUUGCCGGGGGGUGAGGACCUGUAAUAUUUCAUGCAAACCAAAAAGGGUCCGUCAAUAAGACUGCUGCUUUAAGAGGGGAAGUUGCCAAGUUUGCUCAUAGAGCAGAAGGGACUAGGGCCUGCUGCAGACAAGAAGUUGUCCUAGAGGCACAUCCUAGUCUGUUCCCUGUAGACAAGCAGAAGAACAGUGGGAAGAGGUCUGGGGUUCUUAGAGAUGCCCCAGAAUCCCACUACUUUCACAAACGUAAUUUGACUAAACUCUAAGACUGAAUCAGUCUAAUACUUUCAUGCUGGUAAUGUUACGCUAAUGUUCAGAGAGAACAGUUAUAUUGAAAUAAGCUUCUUAAUGGAACAGAAGAGAGCAUGUAAGAUUUCUUUAUGCUUAAAUAGAAUUAUUUAUUACCUUUUCUAUCAUAUAGUAUUAAGCACAAUUUAGUUGAUCACAUGGGAUAAAUGAGGUUGUUAUUUUUGUUGGUAAAGUGGUACGUGUAAUGCUUUAGUAAACAAAUUAAUUUAAAAACUCUAUAAACAUUUUAGUUGAAUGUUAAGUUGCACUCUGCUGAAAUGUGGCACAUUUUAACAUUUAGUAGAUGCUGGAAUUAAGCUGGUAAAAUUCACAUUUGGAUUCCUGGAAAUGGUACUGGAAAAUUAAGAGGAAAGAUCAACAGGGAUAGCUGUAGGGGUAAUGGUCACUAAACCAUUGUCAGUAGGGCAUUGAACUACCCAAAGGGGAGCAGAGUGACAAAUUUAGGGCUGGGCCCAGUAGUUCUAAUGCAAGCAGAACUCCUCCUAGCUGGUCCUGCUUCUUCAAGUCAUCUGAAAAUGUUUCAUUUAGUUCAGGCACCAUCUACAUGUUGCACUUAAACUGUGAUUAACCACAAGUUCAAUUAAGCAUGAUAUAAAGAUGAAUAUGCUACAAAUUAUUCCACAAAAUAUGUGUAAUAACUCUAUGGCUCCUUCUUAUCAUGCCAUUAAUUAAACAUGUGGCCAAGGGCCCCUGCAGCUGGGAGCCUGGGACAGCUGAUCAGAGCUACAGCUUGGGGGAUAGCUGUUUAACUGAUAUGGUGUUCCAGCUGCGGGGGUGUUGCAUGUGCUUGGAGCACCCCUGCAGCUGAGACACUGCAUCAGCUGUGGUCUCCCUGCUGUGGGGACCCCAGGAAGUCCCUAUGGCUGGGACCUCGAGUCAGCUGUGUGUGGCCAGAUGUUAAAAAUGAUACUGGUAUCUUUUGAUGCUGGUAUAAGUUGCUAUGGUAUAACUGUUACAUUUGUAUAUGCCUGUAAGCGGAGCAAAACAGUUGAGACUUUUAACCCUGUUUCAUUCAGGGUUAAAUGAUGCACUACUAAGAUGUGGGGCUUUCUCUUUUUGUAUAUACUUAAUCCUGUAAAGUACCAAGCAUGCUGUUUUCCAAAUUGGCUUCAGCAGUUGUUGAAAGUACCCGACACAUUGCCAAAGUACUCAACACCUUGCAGGAAGCAAAUUUAAAGAGCAUUUAUUUAAAUAUGUGAUGCACUGAUAUACUGUUUCCAGAUGUAGCAGCCUUUAAAAAAUGGACCCACCUGAACAGAAUGGGAAGAGCUGCCUGGCAGAGACAGAGUUUGUCCCAGAGGGGACACUAGGCUCUGAGGGCAAGUGAAGCUGUUUGGGAGCAGCCCUGUUGGAAGUGGGAGGGGUGAUGUAACCCCAGCAAAGUUUUGAAAGAGAGCGUUAGCAAAAGCCCGGGAAGGGCCCUGAGCUGGGAUUGGCUG